UGCAUUGCCAACCAGAAUGUGGGUGGCUAGAAUGGCAGCCUGUAGGUUUGUAUGGAAAACAAGUAUGGCACUGUGAAAAAAAUUCUUCUCUCACCCUACAGAUACCUGUGCGGAGAGCUUGGGGAGCAUUUCCAUAGGCUCACUGUCAAAUGAGUGCGAAAGCCCCCAUUCAUUGGAAGCAAAGCUGCUCUUGGUGUUGUUACUGCUGACUUCUAUCUUAACAAAUUCCAGGAUGUUUUCCAGUAUCAUUUCUGCACCAUUUAAUAUGGUCAUAGAAAGUUCAUGUGGUCUAUCAACUUCCUAGUCUUACUCAAGAAUAAUAAUAAUCAAAGAGACAAGAACAGAUGCUGUUGUCGCGGUCAUGCCAAGAAAACGAAGCUUUGAAGAUUUUCAUAUUCCUGUAACUACCACCAUUACCUCUUCAAAUUUCAUAUUGAAUCUUUGCCUAUAUUUAUUCAAGUCAGAGAGAUAAACUUCUCAUGCAACAAAUCUUUCAUCAUUUAUAAGGAUGAAUGACAAAGACAUCUUGGAAUAUUCUUUUUAAGUUCCAUUAUCUUCUUUUGGAUUUAUGGAAAUUUUGAGCCGUGAUGUGCAAAUGACUACAAUUUGAAGCAUCCGUUAAAUACAGCAACAUGACAUCACAAGGAUUAUUUCAAAGUCUUUUGGAGAGAAGAGGCAUAAUGAAACAUGAAAAACUAGGAUUGGAAUUAGGUAAAAAUACAGAACACCAUGGUUCCAAACUUAUAAGUGUUUUUUUUUUUUUUUUUUUUUUUUUUUUUUUUUUUUAAUAGAAGCAGGCGUAUCAAGUUGUCUCACUACUGUGAGGAACUGAAUGAGUAAAUAAGAUUCAAAAUAUAAAACAUUAUAGUCAGUCAGACAGGACUAAGCCAUCAAAGGAGCCAGUGCAGAAGAUUAGAUACCUUGUUGCUAUGGGAGAGACAGACAUCUCCUGAUGUGGGCUAGGCCUCAAGACAAAAGAUCAAGCAAAUACACCCACAUCCUAAGGAUUGAUAUUCUAAAUAGCUCUCUCCAUCAUGCUGAGGAAGCCAGGAGUCACCAUUCCAACUUCCCACAGGAAAAGACACUGCUCUUUAAACAUGCUUGCUACAUGACUUGCUUCCUUAUUCAUCCCCAUUUAAUAGAUUUUAUCUGAGCAAUUGAUCUUAUUGGUUAGCUGUUGUCUAUCCCGCCUUAUGCCCACCUUGACAGUUUCUAUGUUUUCCCCACCUUGAACUCUUCUCACCUCAUGGUUUUACUCUAUAAAAAAUCCCUGGAAAAUACAAAGUCUUUGGUAACCCACUCGGGACCUCUUCUGUCUCUCUCUCAGACAGAAGCUUUCUUUCCCUCAAUAAAUUAUUUCUGCUCUUAACCUCUGUUGUUCCUAAAAGUCAUUCUUUGAUUUUAGAAACACAAACUCGUACAGGACAUAUAGUGAUUGGGAGAUUCGUUCUCCUAUAUCAGUAUCAGGUACAAGUUCUCUCUCAGCUUUAAUAGAGACUAAGUUUAUCAGUAAAACUUAUUUACAAAUAAAUAUCCUUGAGGGAAAUUAGAAGUAAUUCCUGAAAUAAUAAGCAAUAAUGUAUAAUUCACUCUACUUAGCCACAUGCCAUGAAAAAGUGUAUCCUAUAGAUCAGACAAAGUUCCAGGUGAAACUGAGGGAUUUUUACUUAGCUUUCUCAUCUGUUGCUCACAGGGUAGCACGGAUUCAUGAAAAUAUCCUGCUCCUAGGAGUCUCCUGCCUGAUUCUGGAUAUGAAUGCCAAUUUUAUACUGUUAUCUUUUAAUCACCUCCUGUGUUAGAAAUCAUAGAGUAUUAGGCUCAAACCCUCCCUGCUCCCAUCAUUAAAAUCACUGAAACCCUGUUGAAUUUAAUUUCUUUAAAAUGUAUUUUAAGAAAAUCUUUCUCCUCUCCAUUUUCAUUGCCUUUGGGUCUGUAUUGUUUGAAUCAUCAAUUUCCUACCAAUGAGAUUGAAAUUGACUCUUCCAUAGUCCCGCUUGCCCUGUCCCCUUCCUUAUAUGCUAAGAUGUGGGAAUAUUUUUCCUUUUUAUACUACCUACAAGUCAUAUUUUUCACUUCAGAGUAACUUUUAAAAUUAGCAAUUAAUUUCAUUAUUAUCAUUAUUUUAUUUAUUAUUUUUAUGUCUGUGACACCCUCAUUGCAUAAAGCAAAUUCUCAACACAUAUUCUAGAAAAUGUCACUUUUAGAAGAAUCCCAUGGUGAAUUAUCUACAAAGGGGUUCUUCCUAGCAGAGAAAACUACUUAAAUGUGUUCAGCUUAAUAAGAACAGAAUCACAUGAUCAUAGAGUAUUUUAUACAUUUAUUAUUUUUUGUAAAUAUGUUAUAUUGAAAAAACUAUUGAGCAUUAGAUUAUAUUGACUUAAAGAUUAAUGUCCAAAAAUGUUAUGAUGUAUGAUCUUAGUUUUGUCCUGGUCUCCUCUCCCACAUUUCCCUCUUAUCCCUAGCAGUCCAUUGUAGGAAGAUAAAAGUUUAGAAACAAGAUGCAUAACAUUAGGUAGAGGACAGUGAAUGGACAUGAAAAAAAAUGAGAGGAAAUUUUUAAAAACUGACUUUUCUUCAUAUGCCUCCAAGUAACGAAGUUAAAGUGGAAAAUUAUAUAAAUUUUGCCUGCUAUUCUGGUUUUGAUAUACAUUUGCUUGUCUGAUAGUAACAAAAUUUCCAGGACUUCAACUGUUGGGGGUAUGACAAAGUGUUACAAAAGGAUAAAGAGCUUUACUUUGAAAAGCAAGUAGAACUGAAAAAUGUUUGCUAGGUUGGCGGGAAGAGACAGAGGAAAGGAGCAAUGGCAGUAGACAGGAGAUAAUGAGUGGGGCAGAGCCCUUGGAGAAGAUGUUUGUAUAUUUAUGUAUUAUGUGUAUGUGGGCUGCAUGUUCCUGGAGUGGUAGGACUGAGAAGAGAGAUUGAAUUUGAGUAAUGUUUUGAUUUUGCAUUCAUUUCUUAGAAUAAUAACUUGAUUUGAUAGUCCACUAAUUGUUUAUAUCUCUUUAUGUCUCUCUUGAACACUGACCAAAACUAUAUUUCUUUUCAUCAUAAAAUGUUACACAUUUCAUCUGUGUUAUAAGGAUCUAACAAUGUAGGCCUUUGAUUGUUGAGAGAGAAUUUUCUUAAGAUUAUUCAUGGCAAAGAAAAGAUUAUCUUUUCUAACAUGUCAAAAUUAUCCCUACAAAUGGAAGUACCCAUAUAUGGUUUUGAUGCUCCUAUGAACAAAUCUAGUUUACUCUCCAUUAUUUUAGGAUACUGGCAAGAUGGAUAUAUAUUUGUGAGUGAACAAGCCCAGGAGGAACUUCUCAGAAAGUUAAAUCUUCCAGAUACUAUGGUACAAUUCACAUAAUUCCCCAAUCUGACACCAAGCCCCAAGAAAUACAAAGUCAUAUAUUUUUUUUCAUAUUGAGAUAAUCAUAAUAUUUUGAUAUUUUUAGUAGAAGACAACAUGUUUUAUUACAUCAAAUUGUUAAGGAGUAGGAUACUUGUGUCUGCAUAAUUUGUGAAAUGAACUUUACAUUGAAGUAAUGGAAAGGCUCCUUUUUAUGUUAGCACCAAAGUGUAUCAAAGACUUACCCUGCUGGAAGGACCUCUUACAUAUGAGUCCUGUGCUAUACCUUGCAACCGCAUAUAGGAGAAUCUCAGUUCAUUGUCAAAGCAUCCAUUUUCCUGCAAUGACCUCAGUUUAGCAUCUGCUCAUAGGAUGUGUUGCACAUUGUUGGAAUUUUAUAGUGCCUUAUAUAUUCUCAUCCAGGAGACCUUCAUAGACCUCAGAAAAAGUUACAUUUUUCCAUCUCUAUGUGUGAAAAUGAUGCUUCCUAUUAAUUUUGUUCUCUUGAUGAAAUCUCUAAGCAAAAGCCUUCUGUUGGAAGCAAAAUAAUAUAGUAACAGCAUAAUUUUUUAACAUUAGAAUGAGACAUAUUAUGGUGUAUAUUUCACUACUUUUAAAAACAUCAAAACAAAAACCUCAAGAGUCAUGAUGUCAAUUUUAUAUUUUAAGUGUGAAGAUUUCAAGAGCCUUGAGAAUGACCCCAGGACAAGUAUGACCCCCCACACUCCGCUAAGCAGGGUUUUCUACUGUAGUAGCCCUGUUAAAAGCACGCCUGUCUAUGAUGUUUGCAUUUUUGAGAGUAAAGACUUGGCUGUUUAAUCCAGUGCAAUAAAAUAUUACAGAAAUUUGGUCUAGGACAGUACUUAUCAGUAAUCAUGUUUGGGAAAAAUGUGAUUUUUUUUGUAAAUGGUGUCAUAAUUAGAUGAUUU
Cavia porcellus (domestic guinea pig) is the source of this 4260-nucleotide long non-coding RNA. RefSeq lists it as uncharacterized. The record is from RefSeq and is a predicted model, not a curated record. The transcript has 5 exons. Lineage: Eukaryota; Metazoa; Chordata; Mammalia; Rodentia; Caviidae.